This 1529-nucleotide long non-coding RNA is filed under the name Olea europaea (common olive). RNAcentral's name for it is "long non-coding RNA (OEUR_LNC002916)". Lineage: Eukaryota; Viridiplantae; Streptophyta; Magnoliopsida; Lamiales; Oleaceae. The record is from RNAcentral.
CUAAUCUAAAAGCCUGUUUGAGCCCCAUUUUUUUUAAGAAUGCAUUUUGGAAUGGUAGACUGAUGGAGAAUGUGUCGUUGAAAAAUAAGGAAAAUAUUUGGGUUUGUAUAUACUAUUAUCUUAUUGAAGAAUAUGUAUUUGAAAAAAAAAGAGAGAAAAAUGUAUUUGAAAAUAAUGGGGAACAAACAUGGGCUAAAUAAGAAAGAAGAAAAGGUAAUUAAGCCUAUUACAAGAAGAAAUCCUAUUAUAAGUAACUAACUUCUAUCCUAUUUAUAAUAAGAUUGCAUCAUAAAUCAAUGCUCAUAAAUGCAUAAUAUCACAUGUUACAUGAUGGGUUUGAUUAUACAUUCACAACAUUUACAAUCACGAGUGUGUGUUUUUUUAUAUACCAAAGUUGCAAACGACAAAAAUUAACCAUAGAACAGUUGAAUAAGUAAAAAAGCAUUAGUUGUUUGUUCUCAUUCCAGGAAUUCCAAGACCUGAGCAACAUAAACAAAUAAAUAUAACCCAAUUCAGAAAAAGUCUAAAAAAUAGAAAACUAGUCCUACAUAGGCAUUUUCCAUUUAUAUCAUGACAAAUUGGACAAAUCUAACAAACAGAGAUUCAAAUCAUAUAGUUUAGCAUCCAUCUAUUAAACAAAAUUGCAAUAAAACCAAGAGCAGCAUGCAAAAGUAAAGAAUGUACAGGCCAAAUGCAAUAGCAUAAUCAAAACUCAUUCAAUCCAUUUUCCCUGAGCCUUGAUGUGGCCAUUAAAAUCAACAAUACCCCAGAUCAAUCCAUCAUCAAAAGUUAAGGAGACUAGAGAAAACUAGCUGAUUACAAGUUCUCAAUACUUGAGUCGGAGCGGAAUUGGAAUUGAAAUUCUUAAAACAAGAAUAAAAUUGAAAAACUCAAAAAUAUAUAGAGAAUAAUUUGAUUAUAACAAAUUGGUUAACGAAAAGUAUACAAAUCCUGUGUUUAUAUAGGCAAAUAAUUUCCUAAUCUUAUCAAUAUAAGGAAACCAAACUAAAAUCCUAAAAGGAAACAAAAUCUUAAUCUAAAAGAAAGAAGAUCCUAUUCUAAUCAAGCCCAAAAAAAAAUAAAAAUAAAUAAAUAAUCCUCAGCUAUUUUAGAAAGAAGAAAAAACGAUAAAGCCUAUUACAACUGGAAAAUCUAUUAUAAAUAACUAACUUCCAUCUUGUUUAUAAUAAGAUUGUCCUACAACACGAGUAAAUUAAAAAAAUCAUAUACAGCAUCAUAAAUCAAUGUUCGUAAAUGCAUAAUAUCACAUGUUGCAUGACAGGUUGAAUUAUACACACACAACAUUUACAAUCGCCACAAAAUUGACCAUAGAACCCAGUUGAAUAAGUAAAAAGCAUUAAUUGUUUGUUCUCAAGUAUGGCACUAAUGCAGUAAAGGUUGAAUAACCAAUGAAGAAUUUCUACCGUAUUCUAACAAUAUUUCUAAACAUUCAUUUCAACCCUCAACCCGAACUCAGGUUUCCUAAAUUCAUCAAUAUUCCAAGUCACCAGCUACAAUUUUUUUUUUNN